GCCUUCGUGGUGUAACGGUAGCACACUCGGCGCAUAAUCGGCAGGUCCAGGUUCGAGUCCCGGCGAGGACG
This 71-nucleotide transfer RNA is filed under the name Stegodyphus mimosarum. It matches the Rfam family "tRNA". Rfam says of the family: Transfer RNA (tRNA) molecules are approximately 80 nucleotides in length. Their secondary structure includes four short double-helical elements and three loops (D, anti-codon, and T loops). Further hydrogen bonds mediate the characteristic L-shaped molecular structure. tRNAs have two regions of fundamental functional importance: the anti-codon, which is responsible for specific mRNA codon recognition, and the 3' end, to which the tRNAs corresponding amino acid is attached (by aminoacyl-tRNA synthetases). tRNAs cope with the degeneracy of the genetic code in two manners: having more than one tRNA (with a specific anti-codon) for a particular amino acid; and 'wobble' base-pairing, i.e. permitting non-standard base-pairing at the 3rd anti-codon position. The record is from Rfam by way of RNAcentral. Lineage: Eukaryota; Metazoa; Arthropoda; Arachnida; Araneae; Eresidae.